Molecule: ribosomal RNA, 546 nt
Filed under: uncultured bacterium
Lineage: Bacteria
Description: bacterial SSU rRNA
Rfam family: Bacterial small subunit ribosomal RNA
Source: RNAcentral
AGAUAAUAGAUACCCGGGUAGCCCACGCCGUAAACUAUGGAUGCUAGCUGUUAGAGGUAUCGACCCCUCUAGUAGCGAAAGCUAACGCGUUAAGCAUCCCGCCUGUGGAGUACGGUCGCAAGACUAAAACAUAAAGGAAUUGACGGGGACCCGCACAAGCGGUGGAGCGUGUUGUUUAAUUCGAUGGUAAGCGAAGAACCUUACCCAGGCUUGACAUCCUUGGAAUUUUGGCGAAAGCCGAGAGUGCCUUCGGGAACCAAGUGACAGGUGUUGCAUGGCCGUCGUCAGCUCGUGUCGUGAGAUGUUUGGUUAAGUCCAUCAACGAGCGCAACCCUUAUAGUUAGUUGAAUUUUUCUAGCUAGACUGCCCUGGCAACAGGGAGGAAGGAGGGGAUGAUGUCAGGUCAGUAUUACCCUUACGUCUGGGGCUACAAACACGCUACAAUGGCCGGUACAAAGGGCAGCCAAGUCGCGAGACGGAGCAAAUCCCAUCAAAGCCGGUCUAAGUUCGGAUAGCAGGCUGAAACUCGCCUGCUUGAAGCUGGAA